AUUGAACGCUGGCGGAAUGCUUUACACAUGCAAGUCGAACGGCAGCACGGGGGCAACCCUGGUGGCGAGUGGCGAACGGGUGAGUAAUACACCGGAACGUGCCCAGUCGUGGGGGAUAACGUAGCGAAAGUUACGCUAAUACCGCAUACGAUCUACGGAUGAAAGCGGGGGACCGUAAGGCCUCGCGCGAUUGGAGCGGCCGAUGUCAGAUUAGGUAGUUGGUGAGGUAAAGGCUCACCAAGCCGACGAUCUGUAGCUGGUCUGAGAGGACGACCAGCCAGACUGGGACUGAGACACGGCCCAGACUCCUACGGGAGGCAGCAGUGGGGAAUUUUGGACAAUGGGCGCAAGCCUGAUCCAGCCAUUCCGCGUGCAGGACGAAGGCCUUCGGGUUGUAAACUGCUUUUGUACGGAACGAAAAGGCUCUGGUUAAUACCUGGGGCUCAUGACGGUACCGUAAGAAUAAGCACCGGCUAACUACGUGCCAGCCGCCGCGGUAA
This 500-nucleotide ribosomal RNA is filed under the name uncultured bacterium. RNAcentral's name for it is "partial 16S ribosomal RNA". It matches the Rfam family "Bacterial small subunit ribosomal RNA", at positions 30 to 523 of the family's 1533-position model. The record is from RNAcentral.